Long non-coding RNA from Topomyia yanbarensis, 632 nucleotides. RefSeq lists it as uncharacterized. The record is from RefSeq and is a predicted model, not a curated record. The transcript has 4 exons. NCBI's taxonomy places the organism in Eukaryota, Metazoa, Arthropoda, Insecta, Diptera, Culicidae.
AUUUUCAGUUGCUGUAUAGCAACCAUUUUAUGUUUACAUAAAUUUGAAUGGGUGAAAACGUGAAAAGUUCUUCGUCCAGGUGCUGCUGCUUUAUUAGUCUCCUCAACAUAAAAGUGGCCGAUUGUAUGCCAGCUUCUGGAAGGAGAUCACUGCGACCACGAAACAAACUUGACGAGUAUGACUGUCAAGGUGCACUAUUUGGUAGUGAGCUACUAUCACCAUUUUGCCAAUGGUUUUUUUGUUUCAUUCACAUGGCAGUUUUGCUGGGAGUUCUUGCUGGUGAUUUGUCAUGGCGCGUUGGACAUGGUUCCUCUGGCACAGCAAUAUGACAUUGUGUGAGGUAACGAAGUGUGGUCGAAACACGUUGUCCUGCUAUGAUAUGUCUUUGACGAACAGCAGCUUUUUGUGCCAAUGUACAAGUCCAAAGAAACUGGAGGAAAUGUAUGUUACAUUGAGUCAAAAUCUCCCAAGUGUGCAAACGAUUUUUCGUCGGUCCGGCUUUUUCUGUAAAAUUUUUAUGGGUUGACAACGAUAAAUAAAAAAUACAAUUUGGACAGUUUUUCGAAAUUUCGAAUUGUUAUGGGUAUUUUGCUUUUUUCAACAUGAGUUUGGAUUUUAUUUAAUUUCUCACG